Molecule: non-coding RNA, 82 nt
Organism: Canis lupus familiaris (dog)
Lineage: Eukaryota; Metazoa; Chordata; Mammalia; Carnivora; Canidae
Source: Rfam
GCCUGGGUGGCUCAGCGGUUGAGCGCCUGCCUUUGGCUCAGGUCAUGAUCCCGGGAUCUGGGAUCGAGUCCCGCAUCAGGCU